UCCACUUCUUGUUGGGUUUUUCCCUCUCCUUUUCUUGGAACACAUUGCAUUGUUUGGCAGUUUCCUCCAAAAUGAAACAUUCCCUACAGGAUGGUGGGGAGGAUCAAGAGACUCAGAAGGCAAACAAAAUGCACAUGCCUGGGAAAGCGGAAACUUAGAAGAUUCUAGAAGCCUCCUCCCCAGUUUUGUAGAAGGAGCAUGCAGCUCAUGGAGAGAGGACACUGACUGGCCGAGCUGAGAGGAGACAUUUGGAGCUGUUCAGCUGCCUGCAAGUUGUACAGAAAGCCACAGGAUUGCAGCUUUCAUGAGCUGUCUGCUUGGUUGGGGUGAGCUUUUCCAUGAAGCAACUGCUUUUGAGUCAUCCCUGAUCCUUGGCUGAAAACUUCAGCAGCUAAUGUGGAGAAGACAACAUCAGAGGACAUCUGUGGAGAUCCAGUCUCGGGUAUAGAAAAGGCUGUCAGAUGGGCCCAUAAAGUACCAUAUUUGAUAAAGCUCUAGAAGAGAAGAUAUCUGUAACCCAAGGAUCUGCUGAAGAAAUUUGUCUCAAAAUAUAUUUUAAAAAGUCCCACAAAUGGAUCAUAAACAGCCUAUAUCCUAAAAAGAAAAGAAACAAAAGCGCUUAUUGGGUACUUCACUGAAGAGGACAUUCCCAAGACCCAUGGGCUGAGACCAAGGCAGUUGGCAUGAGGUAUCAAAAAUGGAAAUGAAGCUGAACUUGGAGGCAUGUGCCUGUAUCCCUGUACUGACUGAACUGAGGUAAGAGGAGAGCAUUCCAUAGCAAGACCCUGCUUCACAAAAUUUAACAUUAAGAUAUCUCCAAGAACAGAGGGAUAGUUUUCCAUCCACAGAUUCAAUGAUCCCUUAUGGUGAUAUUUUAUUAGUGCUGAAAUGUGAUUUUAUUUGUAUGUUAAUAAAGUUGCCUGGAGAUCAGAGCUAAGAGCAAGCCAUUUAGCAGAAGUCCAGUGGUGGUGGCACACACCCUUAAUCGGAUCACAUGGCAGGCAGAAUCUCUGUGUGUUAAAGGACACAGCCAAGCGGUGACCCAAACCUUUAAUCUCAGUACAAACCAUAGAGACCUGCAGGUCUAGAAAGGCAGUGAUGAGGAAGUCAUGUGGUUGGGUUUACAGCCAAUGAGAAGGCAGAACAGAAAGGCAAUAAAAAGACAGGACACAGGAAGAAGGUCUCUCUCUCAGGGGAAGGACAGCAGCGAGUGGAAAGAUAAGGUGGUCUUAGCUCUUGGCUACUGCUCGAUCUCUGGGCUUUUAACUCUUUAUUUGGCUCUGUGUUUCUUAUUUAAUAAGACUGUUUAGAAUUACAUCUACAAUCCCUGUCACAAUGAUUGAUUCAUGGAACUAGAGAAAAAAGUUCUGAAAGCCAUACAUAACUAUAUAAUAUGCUAAAUUGUGAGCACAAAAGCCAAAGCAGGAUACAUUUGACUGCCAGGUUUUAGAAUAUAAAAUUGUAGCAGUCAAGACUAUAGCGUGGAAUUACCAGGAAAGAUUCAUGGGCCAAUGGGGAAGAGCAAAGAAGCUAGAAAACCCAGACAUGUGCAACCUGCUAUCACCUGACAGACUUGGUAAGCUCAAGCACUGGAGAAAGACCAGGGAUAGGGAAAAUGAAUGUCCAUGUGUAGAAGAAUGAAAACUAUGUUCUUGUCUCUCGACACUUACAAAAUCAAUUCAAACUGGAUUAAGCACCAAAUCUAUGAGCAAACAGGAACUGGAGCAGUAACGGAGUUUUUAGAAAAGACCCUGUCUGAGUUGGCUUCAGCUGUCAACUUCACACAGCCCAGAGUCAACUGAGGGAACCUCAACUGAAGAAGGUCCUAGGGACAAUUGGCCUGUGGGUGUGUAUGUGGGACCUUGUCUGGAUGGCUGAUUGACUAGAGGGCCCAGCCCACUGUGGGUGGCACCAUCCCUUGA
Peromyscus californicus insignis is the source of this 1922-nucleotide long non-coding RNA. RefSeq lists it as uncharacterized. NCBI's taxonomy places the organism in Eukaryota, Metazoa, Chordata, Mammalia, Rodentia, Cricetidae. The record is from RefSeq and is a predicted model, not a curated record. The transcript is spliced from 3 exons.